This 206-nucleotide ribosomal RNA is filed under the name uncultured bacterium. RNAcentral describes it as "partial 16S ribosomal RNA". It matches the Rfam family "Bacterial small subunit ribosomal RNA", at positions 568 to 774 of the family's 1533-position model. The record is from RNAcentral.
UGCGUAGGUGGCUUAUCAAGCCAGGGGUGAAAGGCAUUGGCUCAACCAAUGUAAGCCUUUGGAACUGAUAGGCUUGAGUGCAGGAGAGGUAAGUGGAAUUCCUAGUGUAGAGGUGAAAUUCGUAGAUAUUAGGAGGAACACCAGUGGCGAAGGCGACUUACUGAACUGUAACUGACACUGAGGCACGAAAGCGUGGGUAGCGAACA